CAGCCGCCGCGGGAAUACGUAGGGUGCAAGCGUUAAUCGGAAUUACUGGGCGUAAAGCGUGCGCAGGCGGUGUUGUAAGACUGAUGUGAAAUCCCCGGGCUCAACCUGGGAACUGCAUUGGUGACUGCAACGCUGGAGUGCGGCAGAGGGGGAUGGAAUUCCGCGUGUAGCAGUGAAAUGCGUAGAUAUGCGGAGGAACACCGAUGGCGAAGGCAAUCCCCUGGGCCUGUACUGACGCUCAUGCACGAAAGCGUGGGGAGCAAACAGGAUUAGAUACCCCCGUAGUCCCUGUCUCUUAUAU
This 301-nucleotide ribosomal RNA is filed under the name uncultured bacterium. Its description in RNAcentral is "partial 16S ribosomal RNA". It matches the Rfam family "Bacterial small subunit ribosomal RNA", at positions 509 to 809 of the family's 1533-position model. The record is from RNAcentral.